RNAcentral lists this ribosomal RNA (202 nucleotides) under uncultured bacterium. Its description in RNAcentral is "partial 16S ribosomal RNA". It matches the Rfam family "Bacterial small subunit ribosomal RNA", at positions 1300 to 1500 of the family's 1533-position model. The record is from RNAcentral.
GCAGGCUGCAACUCGCCUGCAUGAAGCUGGAAUCGCUAGUAAUCGCGGAUCAGAAUGCCGCGGUGAAUACGUUCCCGGGUCCUUGUACACACCGCCCGUCACACCAUGGGAGUCGGAAAUGCCCGAAGUCAGUGACCCAACCGUAAGGAGGGAGCUGCCGAAGGUGGAGCCGGUAACUGGGGUGAAGUCGUAACAAGGUAAC